UUAUUCGGUGCAACCAAACCACA
Molecule: small nuclear RNA, 23 nt
Filed under: Arabidopsis thaliana (thale cress)
Lineage: Eukaryota; Viridiplantae; Streptophyta; Magnoliopsida; Brassicales; Brassicaceae
Description: snRNA_16378
Source: RNAcentral